AUUGAACGCUGGCGGCAGGCCUAACACAUGCAUGUCGAACGGUAACAGGAAACAGCUUGCUGUUUCGCUGACGAGUGGCGGACGGGUGAGUAAUGUCUGGGAAACUGCCUGAUGGAGGGGGAUAACUACUGGAAACGGUAGCUAAUACCGCAUAACGUCGCAAGACCAAAGAGGGGGACCUUCGGGCCUCUUGCCAUCGGAUGUGCCCAGAUGGGAUUAGCUAGUAGGUGGGGUAACGGCUCACCUAGGCGACGAUCCCUAGCUGGUCUGAGAGGAUGACCAGCCACACUGGAACUGAGACACGGUCCAGACUCCUACGGGAGGCAGCAGUGGGGAAUAUUGCACAAUGGGCGCAAGCCUGAUGCAGCCAUGCCGCGUGUAUGAAGAAGGCCUUCGGGUUGUAAAGUACUUUCAGCGGGGAGGAAGGGAGUAAAGUUAAUACCUUUACUCAUUGACGUUACCCGCAGAAGUAGCACCGGCUAACUCCGUG
Molecule: ribosomal RNA, 490 nt
Filed under: uncultured bacterium
Lineage: Bacteria
Description: partial 16S ribosomal RNA
Rfam family: Bacterial small subunit ribosomal RNA
Source: RNAcentral